Molecule: non-coding RNA, 2966 nt
Organism: Peromyscus maniculatus bairdii (prairie deer mouse)
Lineage: Eukaryota; Metazoa; Chordata; Mammalia; Rodentia; Cricetidae
Source: RefSeq, a predicted model, not a curated record
GCCACACAACUGCAACGCAUGCGCAGAGGGCUCCGAUCAGUUCCAUCCAUGUUCUCUGGUUGGCAGUUUAUUUAGUCUCUGUGAGCCCCAAUAGCCAGAUCCUGUGACCAAAUCACAAGACCAGGAGACAUCCAAGCUGCAGGUGUAAGGAGACACGAGGCACGGGACUGGAGGAAUGCAGAUUACAAGGUGGCAGUGCUGGGACUCAAACCCACAGCAUGCUAUACAUACAUGUCCUUAUGAGCUACAUCCUUAGUAUGGAAGAGACUCAUAGUAAGCAGCCAAGAAAAAUCCAUCUCCUGUGUAUAUCAAAAGGAGAAGAAUUUGAAAUGGUCUCUGUACAUUGUCCACAAUAAAGGCGCCUGUCCAGGAAAGACCAGAAGACUUUACCAGAGGUUUCUCUGACAUAGACAGAAGACGAUCUCUGUUUGAGAUUUUGGAAUUAGUUGUUUUUCUGUUACUGUGGCAAAGUACCUACCAGAAGGAACUCCAGGGAAGGAGGAAGCUGUAGUUUGGAUGACAGCAGGAAAGGCAUGGUGACUGGGGUGGCUGGUGGUGCACCUGGGUCCAUGACAGUCUGCGAUGUGACUUUACAUAAAGCGUCAACAAGAAGUAGGAAGUCCAGUAAUGGAGUGGGAUGACUCCUCAACCCUUAGGGCUUACACCCAAAUAAGACUUCCUCUGGCUAGGCCCUACCUGAUUAAGGCCCCACAACCUCUCAACACAGCAUCUUCCCCUGGGGAAGAUAGGAGCCUGUGAGACAUUUCUUCACCUUCCAGCCAUGACAAAUCCAGAUACCUGUAAAACCUAAGAAAGAGAGCAGAAGGAUACAUAGUCUGAAAAGGGAUUAAGCAUAUUAUAACACAGGAUCUCAAGCCCACUUAAGUAAAGCAAUUCACUCCCUAAUUAUAGACUAUUUAUCUACAGGGCUCCUUACAGCCAUGCCAAAAAUGCUCUAGCAAAAUAACAGAUUCUAGUUGAAGCACUGAUAACAUUCAGGUAGUUCUUUGGGAAGCUCAAAGACAUAGAAACUAAACUGUGGGAUUAGAGGGCUAGAAAGGCAUCUCAGUAGUUAAGAGAUGCUCUUGAAUCUCUUACUGCUCUUGAAGACAACCUGGAUUCAGUUCCCAGAACCCACACUGUGGCUCCUAAACAUCUGUAACUCCUAUUCCCUGGAAAUCUGGCACCCUCUUCUGGCCUCCAUGCAAGUUUAACACUCAUGCACAUAAAUAAAAAUUAAUAUAUUUUUAAAAAAUGCCAGGAUUAGGAAAUUUUCAAGUUCUUGGUACAUAGAGCUGUAGGAAAAGACCAGUUCAGUAAAACACCUAAGCCACAUUAACCCAAAACUCACACUCUGAGGUCCUAUUAUUUAAAAUGGAAUCAUCAACACAAAAUAUUAAGAAAUGAAAGAUGGUGAAUUCUACCAAUCAUUAAGAGAAGACACGUUUUCUAUUAUCUACAAUAUCUUUCAAAAUGAAAUAUUUGAAAUUUCCUACCUAGUUCUGUAAGAGUGACAUUACUUAAUGCCAAAUGCAAAGACUUUAUAAGAAAGGAUAAUACACACCAAUAUUUCUCAAUGGUGUAGUUACUAAAUUCCAAAGGGAAGUGGUAGCAGCUAUAACCCAACAGAAAAAUAAGAACUUUGCCUGCUGAACAAGUGGAGUAUAUUCUGUGUAGCAAAAUCGGUUUAAAAUCUAAUUGUUGUAGCCCAUAUCAUAAAGCUAAAUGAAAAUAGCAUGCAAUCAUAUCAAAUGGCACAAGAAAAAGUUUGACAAAAGUCUGGUUCUUCUUUGUGAUAAAAUUUCUUAACACACUAAGAGCCAAAGGGGCUUCUUCAAGUUGAACAAACUUCUCCAAGUAAUCCACAACUAAAAUCAUACUUCCCUGUUGCUAUGAUAAAAAACACCAUGACCAAAAGCAAUUUAGGGGAAAAAUGGCUUAUUUGAACUUACAGCAGUUUCAGAGGAAGACAGCUCAUAGUGUCCAAAAGGCAUGACAGCCGGAGCAAGGGCCCACUCAGCCUGUAGUCAGGAAGUAGAGAAAUGACAUAUUCUCCACACACAGAAAGCAGAGAGAGAGAGAAAGAGCACUGGACAUAGAGGCAAUCUAUAAAAGCUCUAAUCCUGCCCUAGAGACAUAUUUUCUCCUCAAGGCUCAGCCUACUAAAGUGUCCAUCACCCUCCCAAACUGCAUCACCAACUGGGAACUAAGCAUCGAAAAACAUCUGCUCAUUUGGGCAUUUUUCUCUUCACACCACCAUGCCAGGUUACAACACAAGGCUGUUGCUUAUCUACACACCAUCAACGAGCAAUUGGAAUUUAGAACUGAAAGCACAAUGUCACUAACAGUAGGAAUAAAGUAAUUAUAUAUAAAUCUAACAAAAUACAAGGAGGAUGUAUAUCCAUAAAAUCACCAGACUCAGAUUUUAAAAGUAUCUAAGCAGAUUUAAGUGGAGGUAUGUUCCCUGUUCAUGGGAUGGAAGUUUAAUACUAUUGCCAUUUCUUGCCAGCUUGGUCUAUAGGUUCAAUUUAAACUCGGUCAAGAUCCCAACAUGCUGAUUUGUAGAUAUUGGCAAACUUAUUGAAAGUUUAUAUGGAAACUCAGAAGACCCAAAGGAGCCAAUACAGCAUUGACAAAGAACAGAAACACAAAACAGGCGUUAUCUGACUUGAAGACAUUUUGUAAAAUUAAUAACCAAGGCAGCAUGGCAUUGGAAAGAGAAGAGACAAGUUGAUCAAUAGAAUGAAGUAAGAAGUCCAAAAAUAGACCCACACAAUAGAAUCAGCUGACCUUUGACAGCUUAGUGAAGCAAGGCAAUGGAGAAAUGACCCACUAACAAAGGUUAUUAAAACAAUUGAGUGUAUGAAUAGCAAACUAGACACAGACCUUUUAUCUCAUUAAAAAUUAACUCAAAAUCAAUGAUAUACCUUAAUAUAAAAAUGAAAAGUGUUAAAAUUACAAAAUUU